GAUGAAGAACGUAGCGAAAUGCGAUAAGUAAUGUGAAUUGCAGAAUUCAGUGAAUCAUCGAAUCUUUGAACGCACCUUGCGCCCUUUGGCCAUUCCGAAGGGCAUGCCUGUUUGAGUAUCAUGAACACCUCAACUCUUUAUGGUUUUCCAUGAUGAGCUUGGACUCUGGGGGUUUUGCUGGCUCACAGUCGGCUCCUCUAAAAUGAAUCAGCUUACCAGUGUUUGGUGGGUAUCAUGGGUGUGAUAACUAUCUACGCUUGUGGUUUUUCCACCAGGUAACCUUCAGCAGUGGAGGUUCGCUGGAGCUCAUAGAUGUCUCGCCUCAGUGAGGACAGCCCUUUGAAUGUUUGAUCUCAAAUCAGGUAGGACUACCCGCUGAACUUAAGCAUAUCAAUAAGCGGAGGA
This 405-nucleotide unclassified non-coding RNA is filed under the name soil metagenome. Its description in RNAcentral is "partial contains 5.8S ribosomal RNA, internal transcribed spacer 2, and large subunit ribosomal RNA". The stretch from base 1 to 121 matches the Rfam family "5.8S ribosomal RNA", at positions 35 to 154 of the family's 154-position model. The record is from RNAcentral.